GAUGAACGCUGGCGGCGUGCCUAAUACAUGCAAGUCGAUCGAACAGACGAUGAGCUUUCUCCUCUGACGUUAGCGGCGGACGGGUCAGUAACACAUGGAUAACCUACCUAUAAGACUGGGAUAACGUCGUGAUACCGGAGCUAAUACCGGACAAUAUAUUGAACCGCAUGGUUCAAGAGUGAAAGACGGUUUUGCUGUCACUUAUAGAUGGAUCUGCUCCGCAUUAGCUAGUUGGUAUGGUAACGGUAUACGAAGGCAACGAUGCGUAGCCGACCUGAGAUGGUGGUCGGGCAGCCGGGAACAGAGACAGAGUAGACACUCCGAAGGGAGGCAACGGUAGAGAAUCUUCCGCGAUGGGGGAGAGACUGACGGAGCAACGCCGCGUGAGUGAUGAAGGUCUUAGGCUGGUAGAACUCUGUUAUUAGGGAAGAACAAAUGUGUAAGUAACUAUGCACGUCAUGACGGUAACUAAUCAGAAAGCCACGGCUAACUACGUG
RNAcentral lists this ribosomal RNA (497 nucleotides) under uncultured bacterium. RNAcentral's name for it is "partial 16S ribosomal RNA". It matches the Rfam family "Bacterial small subunit ribosomal RNA", at positions 28 to 507 of the family's 1533-position model. The record is from RNAcentral.